AAGGACAAGUACAUUUCAUUGUACAUUAUACUAAUAUGACUAACGAAAACUAAAUGCUAGUAUGUCUCUAGUGUGCCUUUAUCAUUUGGCGUUACUAUAUUUCCUCCAGAAACGUCUUCAUAUUAUAGUCAUAUUCUUUAUAAUUAGGACCAUGCAGAAUAUUUUCAUCUCUCUUUGUGUGCUAUAAUUUGUUUUCAACUACUUAAUUAUUAUAUUUGUAUAUCUUCAUUAUAUUUUUAUCUGUUAUAACAGUCUUAACAUAAGAACAAAGACUAUAAAAUC
This 282-nucleotide long non-coding RNA is filed under the name Mytilus galloprovincialis (Mediterranean mussel). Lineage: Eukaryota; Metazoa; Mollusca; Bivalvia; Mytilida; Mytilidae. The record is from RNAcentral.